RNAcentral lists this ribosomal RNA (424 nucleotides) under uncultured bacterium. Its description in RNAcentral is "bacterial SSU rRNA". It matches the Rfam family "Bacterial small subunit ribosomal RNA", at positions 355 to 776 of the family's 1533-position model. The record is from RNAcentral.
UGAGGAAUAUUGGUCAAUGGGCGUAAGCCUGAACCAGCCAAGUCGCGUGAGGGAUGAAGGUUCUAUGGAUCGUAAACCUCUUUUAUAAGGGAAUAAAGUGCGGGACGUGUCCCGUUUUGUAUGUACCUUAUGAAUAAGGAUCGGCUAACUCCGUGCCAGCAGCCGCGGUAAUACGGAGGAUCCGAGCGUUAUCCGGAUUUAUUGGGUUUAAAGGGUGCGUAGGCGGCCUUUUAAGUCAGCGGUGAAAGUCUGUGGCUCAACCAUAGAAUUGCCGUUGAAACUGGGAGGCUUGAGUAUGUUUGAGGCAGGCGGAAUGCGUGGUGUAGCGGUGAAAUGCUUAGAUAUCACGCAGAACCCCGAUUGCGAAGGCAGCCUGCCAAGCCAUGACUGACGCUGAUGCACGAAAGCGUGGGGAUCAAACAGG